CCCUUCUCCGUUCCUCACCAAACACCAGCCUUUCUUCUCUCAUAAACCAUCAUCAUUUAUAAUUAUAAAACCUCCCACCUUCCCCUCCAAAUCUCCUUCACAGGAAACCCUUCUUCCAUUCUCUUUUCUCUUCUCCCAUUUUCUUUUCUUGGAACACAACAAAAUCCAAAAGUUCGCCUUUGAGCUUCCAGAUGUGUGGUGGUGCGAUCAUCUCCGACUUCAUCCCGACGCCGGUGUCCUCCCGGCGGCCCAUCGCCGACUACAUCUGGCCGCACCUCAAUAAGGGCGGCGGUGGCGGCGGCAAGAAGGGGCGGAAGCAUGAGGUGGUGGAGAUCGACGACGAUUUCGAGGCCGACUUCGAGGACUUCAAGGACGAGUCCGAGGAGGAUGAGGAGGAAGAGAUCGACGUCAAGCCCUUCGCUUUUACCGCCAAGGCUCCCUUCUCUGGAGAGGGUUCAAUCACUCUAAAAUCAGGAGAAUUCAAUGGGCCUGCAGCUAGAUCAGCCAAAAGGAAGAGAAAGAAUCAAUACAGAGGAAUUCGUCAGCGUCCCUGGGGCAAGUGGGCAGCUGAAAUCAGAGAUCCCCGCAAAGGGGUCCGUGUUUGGCUAGGAACAUUCAACACUGCUGAAGAGGCUGCAAGAGCUUAUGAUGUUGAAGCCCGUCGUAUCCGGGGCAAGAAAGCUAAGGUGAACUUCCCUGAAGCACCUGCGAGUGCCCAAAAGCGUCGCCACAAACCAAAUGUGCAAGCACCAAAACCAGCAUUGGCAGAGGAACAGAAGUUUGAUCGGUCCUUAAACUCCCUAAAUAACCCAGAUUAUGAUUUGGAAGUGAAGGAGCUCACAAAACCUGAGUACCUGAAUUCCCUUUCCUCACUAGAAUCUUCUCCACCUUCUGGGGGCACUGGGUUAGUGCAUUUCCUCUCUGAUCAGGGAAGCAACUCUAUUGAUUGUUUGGACUUUGGAUGGGAACAUGAGACCAAGAAUCCUGAGAUCACAUCAUUUCUUGCUCCAAUUAUAACUGAAGGUGAUGAAUCCGGACUCAUGGAACAUGGUAGCCCUCAGAAGAAACUGAAAAACAAUUCUGAAGAGGCAAUACCAGCAGAUGAUAACUCUGCAAUGAAACUCUCUGAGGAGCUAUCUGCCUACGAAUCAUAUAUGAAGUUCCUGGAGAUCCCUUAUCUUCAGGGGAGUGCAGACGAGUCAAUUGACAGCCUCUUCAGCUGUGACGUUGCUCAGGAUGGACAGAGCACUGUAGAUCUAUGGAGCUUCGAUGACCUGCCCUUGGAGAACAGCAUUUUCUAAGGGAUCCUGGUGUUGGCUGCUGGUUUUCUGUAUAAAAGACAAUGAAUUAAUGUCAAUGGAUGAUGUGGAGGACCAGAAGUGUUUGUCAGCUGCAAUCAAUUGGAUUGAAUUGUGGAUUAUUAAAGUAUCUUUAGUAUUUUCAUAGCCCUAGCUGAUUAUUAAGCUAUAAAGAUGGCAGAUAGAAGGUUGCUUCAUAGCUGCAAUUUUUAUUGGGUGCUGAUGGUGAAAAUUUGAAUGAAACCUGGUUGUGGUGGAUACAUUUGAGUAUAUCGGUUUUGGUUCUUUUGAUGGAUUCCUUCCUUUGAUGAUGAUAUCUUGGCUUAUCUGGCUGUUUGCUUUCUAUUCAAAUUGUUGGCCUUUGUUUGAGAGGUACAAGGAAAUGCUCAUGAAGCGUGGUUCCUUUAACUAGGGCAAUGAAAGAUACACAUGCUCUCAUAUAAUGUUGAUGUAGCGUCCUGUUGCGAAUAACUCAAGGAGAUACUCCCAAAUGGUUUGCCAGAUUCUCAAGCUAGGGCAGUUAUGUGGGGGGCCUAAUCUGGCCUAAAUUAUGGGGGAGUGAAGGAGAAGAAUAGGAAGUAUGAGUUGGCACGCAUAGCUGCGUCCACAUGACAAGCCUUUAACCCCAUAGUUGGGGGGUGAUCUUGACCCAUGCCAUGACCCACCCUGUUGAGGACAUUGCGGGUAUGGUCUGAUCCAUGGACUUAUUUUUUUCAUGGAUUCCUAACAUAACCUUACUUCAUUGAAGGAAGGUGGAGUUGAGGAUGCUUAUAAGUUAUGCUGGUUGGUCUUAUGAUUAAAAAGAAAUGGAACGACAAUUUCAAGGAAAACGGAGUAAGCUAGAAGAAGCAAUCAUCCUGAGUCGGCGAUGAGGUGUCGGAUGCCGAUGAACAGUUUACUAGAAUGGAUAACUUGUGACGGGUGUAUCAGCAGCUCAAUAAGUUCAUCUACUUCAGCAUGUGGAGUUGUGAAGGUGAACUUUGAUGCAUCAUGGAAGAAUUGGAAGGCUCAUGACUGUGGUAAUAUUGGUAUGAGGAUCAUUUUAUGCAUCUACGAUGCCUAAAGCUGAAUUGAGAGCAGCUUAGGAAGGAUUUGCAUUGAGAAUGAGGGGCCUGUCUGAUGGACUAGUUUUCAACUCCUUACUUACCUACCCUUAUAUAUUAUAGGAAUGAACUAAAAAUUCCAAUGAUUACACAGCAACGGUAUAAAAGUUA
This is an RNA transcript of Elaeis guineensis (African oil palm), 2512 nucleotides long. It is a transcript of the gene named ethylene-responsive transcription factor 1, with no coding region annotated. The record is from RefSeq and is a predicted model, not a curated record. Lineage: Eukaryota; Viridiplantae; Streptophyta; Magnoliopsida; Arecales; Arecaceae.